Molecule: non-coding RNA, 96 nt
Organism: Cordylochernes scorpioides
Lineage: Eukaryota; Metazoa; Arthropoda; Arachnida; Pseudoscorpiones; Chernetidae
Source: the annotation of a GenBank genome assembly
UGUCCAGGGGCGGGAAUCGAACCCACAACCUUCUGCUUACCGGGCAGGUGCCAUGUCCAGAAUUAUUAUUUGUAACUAGCCGAAUGAUAUCCGGGC